GAUGAACGCUAGCGGCAGGCCUAACACAUGCAAGUCGAGGGGUAGCAGGAUUAAGCUUGCUUAAUUGCUGACGACCGGCGCACGGGUGCGUAACGCGUAUGCAACCUACCUUAUACUGGGGUAUAGCCCGGAGAAAUUCGGAUUAAUCCCCCAUAGUACUAAUGAAUCGCAUGGUUUAUUAGUUAAAGCAUUGCGGUAUAAGAUGGGCAUGCGUCCUAUUAGCUAGAUGGUGAGGUAACGGCUCACCAUGGCUACGAUAGGUAGGGGGCCUGAGAGGGUGGUCCCCCACACUGGUACUGAGACCCGGACCAGACUCCUACGGGAGGCAGCAGUGAGGAAUAUUGGUCAAUGGGCGCAAGCUUGAACCAGCCAUGCCGCGUGCAGGAAGAAUGCCCUAUGGGUUGUAAACUGCUUUUAUUUGGGAAUAAACCUCUUUACGUGUAGAGAGCUGAAGGUACCAAAUGAAUAAGCACCGGCUAACUCCGUGCCAGCCGCCGCAGUAA
RNAcentral lists this ribosomal RNA (503 nucleotides) under uncultured bacterium. Its description in RNAcentral is "partial 16S ribosomal RNA". It matches the Rfam family "Bacterial small subunit ribosomal RNA", at positions 28 to 523 of the family's 1533-position model. The record is from RNAcentral.